Molecule: non-coding RNA, 399 nt
Organism: Amphiprion ocellaris (clown anemonefish)
Lineage: Eukaryota; Metazoa; Chordata; Actinopteri; Pomacentridae
Source: the annotation of a RefSeq genome assembly
CACAGUUUAACAUGAUGGAUUGUAGGACAGCUCUGCUGCUGUUAACUCUCUGCUGGACAGGUGUUGAUGGUCAGACUCUGACAGAAUCUGGAUCAGCAGUUAAAAGACCUGGAGAAUCCCACAAACUGACCUGUACAACCUCUGGAUUCACAUUCAGCAGCUAUUAUAUGGCCUGGAUCAGACAGGCUCCUGGUAAAGGACUGGAGUGGAUCACUUACAUUAGCAGCAGUGGUAGCAGCAAAUAUUACUCUCAGUCAGUUCAAGGCAGGUUCACCAUCUCCAGAGACAACAACGUACAGCAGCUGUAUCUGCAGAUGAACAGUUUGAAGACUGAAGAUUCUGCUGUUUAUUAUUGUGCUCGAGACACACAGUGACUGAAGUUGUGUUAGCAGCUGCACA